RNAcentral lists this ribosomal RNA (492 nucleotides) under uncultured bacterium. Its description in RNAcentral is "partial 16S ribosomal RNA". It matches the Rfam family "Bacterial small subunit ribosomal RNA", at positions 29 to 507 of the family's 1533-position model. The record is from RNAcentral.
AGUGAACGCUGGCGGUAGGCCUAACACAUGCAAGUCGAACGGCAGCACAGUAAGAGCUUGCUCUUACGGGUGGCGAGUGGCGGACGGGUGAGGAAUACAUCGGAAUCUACUUUUUCGUGGGGGAUAACGUAGGGAAACUUACGCUAAUACCGCAUACGACCUACGGGUGAAAGCAGGGGAUCUUCGGACCUUGCGCGAUUGAAUGAGCCGAUGUCGGAUUAACUAGUUGGCGGGGUAAAGGCCCACCAAGGCGACGAUCCGUAGCUGGUCUGAGAGGAUGAUCAGCCACACUGGAACUGAGACACGGUCCAGACUCCUACGGGAGGCAGCAGUGAGGAAUAUUGGACAAUGGGCGCAAGCCUGAUCCAGCCAUACCGCGUGGGUGAAGAAGGCCUUCGGGUUGUAAAGCCCUUUUGUUGGGAAAGAAAAGCAGCAGGUUAAUACCCCGCUGUUCUGACGGUACCCAAAGAAUAAGCACCGGCUAACUUCGUG